Molecule: long non-coding RNA, 667 nt
Filed under: Daphnia magna
Lineage: Eukaryota; Metazoa; Arthropoda; Branchiopoda; Diplostraca; Daphniidae
Description: uncharacterized LOC123466823, transcript variant X4
Source: RNAcentral
ACUGUAAAAAAAGCCAAGCGUCAUAGUCGCCAUUGUCCAUCUUUCUUUUCUACUGAAGAGUGAAGAUCUUAUUUUCACAGCACAUUCAUCUGUUAAAUUAAUAAUUAGGUAAUAAAUUUUCAAUAGUUACAUCUCUAAUGAAACUGUAAGUUUUGUUGUGAAGAAUUGUAUAUCGUUGUCUUGAUUUUAAGUAGCCUAUUUUUAACAUUGCUAGUGGCACUGACUAUAAACUUCAUACUUUUGGUAAUUAUUCUGAGCUUGUAUAAAGUUAUUGUGGUAAAUUAAGCGAUAUAGCAUCUUUUCCAUUACUGGUUUGUCGUAACAAAAAAGUUUGUGCUUUUGGCCUAUCAGUACAGCAGGCAGUGUGGAAAUAUUUUAAGCGACACAGCAUCUUUUCCAAUUUUAUAGGUUUGUCGUAACCCAAAAGUCCUUUUGGCCAAUCACCAGAUCAGCCAAGUGUAAAAGACAUCAUGUUCUUCGAAGAUAAAGGGGAGUUCUACAUUGUAGACUUACACACACCUGAAGGAUUACAAGUAUGUGUGGUGCCAGAUAUUUGGUGUUACUACGUAGACGACAAAUUCUGCUGUGUUUGGCCACAUUUUCAUCAGACAAAGGAAAUCAAGAGUAGGACUCAACCCAAGAGAGAGUGGGCCUCAUUCUAUGCGGA